Long non-coding RNA from Scleropages formosus (Asian bonytongue), 1551 nucleotides. NCBI's taxonomy places the organism in Eukaryota, Metazoa, Chordata, Actinopteri, Osteoglossiformes, Osteoglossidae. The record is from Ensembl.
AUGUGUAAUGUACCACAAACCUUCAAGGAAGCCAUGAGUUCAACCAAAUCACAGAUCUGGAUUAAAGCCAUGGAAGAAGAGAUGGAUUCUCUAAAAGAAAAUGGAACUUUUACGUUGAUGGCUCUACCCGAAGGCAAACAUGCAGUGGGGGGUAGAUGGGUCUAUGCAAUCAAGAACAAUGCAGAUAACAAUGAAACGUAUAAGGCUAAAUAUGUUGCUAAGGGUUAUAGUCAAGUAAUGGGAAGAGACUAUAAGGAAACUUUUUCUCCGACAGCAAAUAUCACAUCAGUUCGUGUCUUGAUGCAAAUGGCAGCACAGUAUGACCUUGUUCUACAUCAGAUGGAUGUGAAAACGGCUUACUUACAUGCUCCAAUUGAUUGUGAGAUCUAUGUGGAACAGCCAGAAGGUUUUGAGGUAAAAUCGGAUACUGGUGAAAAACUUGUCUGUAAACUGAACAAGUCAUUGUAUGGUCUGAAACAGGCAGGUAGAAACUGGAAUAAGGUACUGCAUGAUUACCUGAGUGAAAAUGACUUUAUGCAAAAUCCUGCAGACUCUUGUGUCUACAGCAGACAGACUGGAAAAGAGAGAGUGAUGCUAAUAAUCUGGGUUGAUGAUCUGAUUAUUGCUUCUAGUACCAACGAGUUACUAAAUGAUGUGAAAAGGAUGCUGACAGCUAAAUUCAAGAUGAAAGACCUUGGUAAAUUGAAACAUUUCCUAGGCAUUGAUUUUGAGCAAAUGGAUGGAGUUGUGAAAAUUAAUCAAAAGGGGUACAUCUUAAAAAUACUGCAAAGGUUCAACAUGUCGAAUAGUAAGUCCAGGUUGACCCCAUGUGAACAAAAGCUAGCGUAUAACGGUGAUGGAAACUCUGUAAACCACACAAAGUAUCGUGAAGCAGUAGGUAGUUUGAUCUAUCUAAUGACAUGUACUAGACCAGAUCUUAGUUGGGCUGUGAGUAAAUUGUCUCAAUCUAUGUCAAAACCAAAUGAGCAACACUGGUGUACAGUGAAGCAUGUGAUGAGGUAUCUGAAAGGUACAGUAAACCAAGAACUGACGUACAAGAAGAGUACCGAGAAGCUGAAACUUACGGCAUACAGCGAUGCUGACUGGGCAUCAGAUCCAAAUGACAGACGAAGUACGACUGGAUACUGUUUUAGUCUAACCAAAAAUGGUCCCCUCAUUUCCUGGAAGUCAAAGAAGCAGCCUACAGUUGCUUUGUCAACAUGCGAAGCGGAAUAUAUGGCACUGGCUGCGACCACACAAGAAAGUCUGUACCUUGUACAAUUGAUGAAUGGACUGGAAAAUGGAUGUCAGUAUGCACCGGUAAAAAUCUUUGAGGAUAACCAAGGUGCAAUUGCUCUUUCCAAAAACCCUGUUUGUCGACAAAGAUGUAAACACGUUGACGUUAGGUACCACUUUAUUCGAUCAGCAAUUAGUGAUGGUAAAAUAACAAUUGAGUACUGUCCAACAACAGAAAUGGUUGCUGAUGUGAUGACUAAACCAAUGACGAAGUAUAAGAAAGAAAAGGUUGAAAGCUUUAUGUUUGGGGCAUAA